This 67-nucleotide microRNA precursor is filed under the name Caenorhabditis elegans. Its description in RNAcentral is "Cel-Mir-230_pre stem-loop". It matches the Rfam family "mir-230 microRNA precursor family", at positions 17 to 81 of the family's 82-position model. Lineage: Eukaryota; Metazoa; Nematoda; Chromadorea; Rhabditida; Rhabditidae. The record is from RNAcentral.
ACUUGGUCGGCGAUUUAAUAUUAUCAGAACAUAGGAAAUUGUUAGUAUUAGUUGUGCGACCAGGAGA